AUUUUCAAAUUUUGGAUAAUUUUUACUAUUAUUAAUUUUAAUCAAUUAUCUAAUCAAAUAAAUUAAAAUUUCAUUUUUAUUUUUUAAUUUAGUUAUACAUUUUAUUCAUUAAGGGUAUAAACGAUAUUAACUACUCUAACUUUUAACGUGAAAGCUCGAUUCUAAAAAUUUAUUUCGCAAAUAAUAGUAUAGAUUUGAGCCAAUAACAACCAAAUCUAAUGCUGAAAGAUUCACCAUCAGGUUAGAAAUCAGAACUCAAAUCUUUUCAAUGGGAUUGACCUUGUUUCAAGAUCUCACGAUUAUAUAUAUAUAUGCUCGUAAACAUUAAAAAUAUAUGCGCUAGCUACUGUCUUAAACAUAAUUUAAAAUUGAUCAAACUUGCAAUGACUAUAUAAUAUCAUUUUUAGUUCUUUUGGCAGCUACUUUUUAGUUUAUAAGCCUAAUAAAAUUCGGUAUUUUUAGUUUAUAUUUCUUGGAUGUGUGUUUUUGCUUGUAAUCUAACAAGAUGAUGUGUGUAACCUAACCACUAGAUGAUGUGUAUAUGUAAUAAUAGAUUGAAAUCAUUUAAAAUCACCUUAAGUGAUGUAUUUUUCUUUGGACUUAUAUAUAUGUAUAUGAUGUAUAUAUUUUUCAUUUUUCCACUAACUCUCUCUUGAUAAUCUCUUGAAGUCGUUGGAUAAAAUUUAAUGAUUUUAAAUUAAUGUUCUCCAACCAGUAAUCAACAAGUAAUACCUAAAAAGUUGGUUGCUUCCAUUUGGAUUUGUUAGAAAUUCAUGCCAUCAUUUAAUGCUUAAUUUAAUGCUUAAUUGCUUCUUUUUAACUCAUAGAAACGUAUUUCUCUGAUAGAUAUAUGCAAUCAAUUCUGAUAUUAAAUUUAACAGUUUACCUAAAAACAAUUCUGAAAUUAAAGUGAAGAUACUUGAAAUGUGAUUUGUUUGAAUUCGGGAUUGUUAAAUACGUAUUUCUUUUUCAACUACGUUUUUUCAUCAUUAAGUUCUUCGUUGCUUUUUAAAACAAGUUGUAUUUAAUUAAGAAUUUUACUAGGUAGUAAUCCAUGCUAAGCGCGCAGUAAAAUUGUUUAUUAGAUUAUUUAUUGUAUGUUGUACUAAAGGAUUUGUUGUAUAGUUUUUUCUCGGGAUGAGCAUUCAUAUAUCUGUUCGGAUUCAGUUAAUUUAUUCGGAUUUCAGAUUUUUAAGGUUAAAAAUUUAAAUCGUAUUCAAAUAUUUACAAAUUGUGGUUUGGAUUUCGUUCGAAGCAUUGCGGGUUUGGUUCGGAUUUGAGUUCGGAUAUCCAUUUUAAUUAUAUAUAUAUUUUUUAACAAAAAUCUAAUAUACUUAAUAUUAAAAUAAAAUAUUAUAAAACAUAGAAUUAGUUCAAUUUAAAUAUUUGGAUGGAGAACAAAUAAAUAUUUUCAGUAUUUUGAAUAUUUUUUGUUAUUUUUAGAUAUUUACUUGCGAUUAUUUUGAUAAUUUUUAGAUAUUUUCAUAUUUUUGAAUAUCUAAUAGAUGUAAAAUUUAAAAUAAUUAACAUAUUUAAAUAUAUAAUUACGACUCAAAUAUUUUUGGUAUCCACAAUAUUUUAGUUUGGAUCAGAUUCAGAUCUGGUUAUCUGGAUAUUAAACGUUUAGAGUACUUAAUUAGUUUAGUUUGUGUUUAACAUUGCUUUCAAAUCUAGUUCAGUUUGGUUCAUUGGAUACAGAUGUUUUACCUAGACUUACUUUCUUUGACUAAUAUAAAGCAAAAUAAAAUAAAUAUAAAAUAAAUAUUCUUGGUUUAUUUAACACACAUAAAUAUUGGAUUAUACUUAAAUACCAAUAAAAAUGGUUGAGAAUCGUGUCAAUAUUUUUGAGCAUGUUGCAAAAUUGACGUAAUCUAAAACCAAUAAUGUAUUUUCUUAUAAGACAUUAUUGAUAAAUAUAAUAAAAACACGAUACAAUUGAGUGAAAAGUGUUAGAGGUGCAUGGAAAAUAAUGUGAUCUCUUCACCCAACACCUGAAUUAUAUUUUUCAAUAGAUUUCCCAAAAAAAAAAAAGUUAAAGUUUUCUGAUUUUUUAUUUUUUUUUUUGCAGUCUGAUUAUGUUUCUAAUUUUUGGUCUGAUAUGAAAACUCCAUAAAGAAAAACAAUAUUUCGUUUAACUAAAGAUCUGACUUUGUGUGUGGUAUUUUUUACCUCAAUUUCUUUAAUUCAUAACCAAUCACAAUUAUUUAUUGAUUUCAUGUACAUAAGCCUCAACCAUGGCUAAGUUUGGCAAAAUACAAAAAAUUAAUUUCUAAAAACCUUAUGAUUCUAUCAUUUUAGUUGUUGUGAAUCUUAAUCAUUUUUUUCUUUCAAAAUGAUAUUAUUGAGUAGUUGUACGAAGAGAACUUUAGUUCACUUAAUACAAAUGUUAAAAAUGCAAGAACAAAAAAUGAAUUAAUUAAAAAAAUAUUAGUGUGAACACAUUAAAUUGUCUGUGAUAGAAUUAAAAAAAAAUCUUUUCUUCUUUUUCAAUUCCUCAAAUGAAUUUUUAUUUAUUAUUUUUUUUCAUUUUUUCCAUUCAUCUAGUGGUUACCAAUCCAAGUCAUAGUAUAUAUAUACAAGCAAUUCUUCGAUUCUUAGGCCCUGGCUGGUUACACCGCAAUGGUUGCGGAAGUUUGCAGAUGCGGGUGGUUGCAGUUUUAAGCGGUUCUAAGAGAUUUAUACGACUGGUACUGCGGUUAGAAAUUAGUGUGUUUGCAGGAUACUUACGACUGGUUAACCAUCGAAUACAACAUCGAUAAAAUAAUAAAUUAAAAAUAUUUACAUUUUAUAUAAUUAUAAGAAUACUAAACAUCAUAAUAUUAUAAUAAGUAAAAAAAAUAUUUAUAAAAAAAUAUUUUUUAGUUUUUAAAAGUUAUAGAAAAUAUUUUUAUCUUAAAAAAUUAUAAAAUAAAUUAAAAUAUAGCAGAUAUAUUUUAGUAUUUCUAUUAUUUCAAUUUAAAAAUUUUGUUUUUAUUUUUGAAUUUAUAUUGUUUCUAAAAAAAGAAAAACAAUUUACCCUCCUGCAACCGUAAAUGCUAGCUGGAACAAAAUUUUGAAUUUAAAAGGUUUAGGAGGUGUUAUUGGUUUAUAUAUUUUGAUUGAUUUAGAAAUCCAUAUAGUAUUUAUAAAUCCAAGUAAAAUAUGCAAAUCCGGAGGUUUUUCUUCGGAUUUAAGUCUUUGUAUUUUUAACUAAAAAAUCCAAACAAAUCCAUUCAAAUCCAUUAUAAAAUCAAAUAUAUUAGUAAAUCCGUACGAUUGAGUAACACUUGAUUUGAUAUAGAAUUUAUGAAUCAUUAAACCAAUAACACCUGAUUUUAAUACAGAUUUGAAAAUCACAGAAC
This is a long non-coding RNA of Brassica rapa (field mustard), 3341 nucleotides long. RefSeq lists it as uncharacterized. The record is from RefSeq and is a predicted model, not a curated record. NCBI's taxonomy places the organism in Eukaryota, Viridiplantae, Streptophyta, Magnoliopsida, Brassicales, Brassicaceae.